AGUCGUAACAAGGUUUCCGUAGGUGAACCUGCGGAAGGAUCAUUAGUGAUUUGCCUUCGGGCUAAACUAUAUCCAUAACACCUGUGAACUGUUGAUUGACUUCGGUCAAUAUUUUUACAAACAUUGUGUAAUGAACGUCAUGUUAUAAUAACAAAUAUAACUUUCAACAACGGAUCUCUUGGCUCUCGCAUCGAUGAAGAACGCAGCGAAAUGCGAUAAGUAAUGUGAAUUGCAGAAUUCAGUGAAUCAUCGAAUCUUUGAACGCAACUUGCGCUCUCUGGUAUUCCGGAGAGCAUGCCUGUUUGAGUGUCAUGAAAUCUCAACCAUUAGGGUUUCUUAAUGGCUUGGAUUUGGACGUUUGCCAGUCAAAUGGCUCGUCUUAAAAGAGUUAGUGAAUUUAACAUUUGUCUUCUGGCGUAAUAAGUUUCGCUGGGCUGAUAGUGUGAAGUUUGCUUCUAAUCGUCCGCAAGGACAAUUCUUGAACUCUGGCCUCAAAUCAGGUAGGACUACCCGCUGAACUUAAGCAUAUCAAUAAGCGGAGGAAAAGAAACUAACAAGGAUUCCCCUAGUAACGGCGAGUGAAGCGGGAAGAGCUCAAAUUUGUAAUCUGGCAGUCUUCGAUUGUCCGAGUUGUAAUCUAUAGAAGUGUUUUCCGUGCCGGACCAUGUCUAAGUCCCUUGGAAUAGGGUAUCA
RNAcentral lists this unclassified non-coding RNA (693 nucleotides) under Cutaneotrichosporon curvatum. RNAcentral describes it as "sequence contains 18S rRNA gene, ITS1, 5.8S rRNA gene, ITS2, 28S rRNA gene". The stretch from base 159 to 312 matches the Rfam family "5.8S ribosomal RNA". Lineage: Eukaryota; Fungi; Basidiomycota; Tremellomycetes; Trichosporonales; Trichosporonaceae. The record is from RNAcentral.